UACGUAGGUGGCAAGCGUUGUCCGGAUUUACUGGGUUUAAAGGGUGCGUAGGCGGUUUAAUAAGUCAGUCGUUAAAGACAUCAGCUUAACUGGGGCAUGGCGAUUGAUACUGUUAAACUUGAAUAUAUUGGAGGUAGCUGGAAUGCGUAGUGUAGCGGUGAAAUGCUCAGAUAUUACGCAGAACACCGAUUGCGAAGGCAGGUUACUACGAUAUGAUUGACGCUGAGGCACGAAAGUGUGGGUAGCAAACAGG
RNAcentral lists this ribosomal RNA (253 nucleotides) under uncultured bacterium. Its description in RNAcentral is "partial 16S ribosomal RNA". It matches the Rfam family "Bacterial small subunit ribosomal RNA", at positions 524 to 776 of the family's 1533-position model. The record is from RNAcentral.